AGUGUUAAACUUUUGCAGUGCCGAGCGUAAUUGAUUGAGACAUCAAGCUUCUCAUGUGCCAAUAUAAUUAAAUACUAAACAAUUAGGUUUGGCACGGAAGAAGCAUGGCCCGAUCUUGAAUGUGGUUCGCACACAGUAAAAUUGAGCCCUUUUGAAGCAAUAUAAAGACUCGCUUUGUCUAUCUUGUCUGUCUUACCUUGUCUAUCUGAUUUUAUUUUUUGAAAAAAAAAACAGUUAAACAAUCGAUUAUGUUGGUUAAAGUGUUUUUGAAGUGAAAAUCGUGUCAGGCUGUUCUUAGGCUUAUUAUAAAAUUCAAUCUUCGCUUAAUAUUAUAAAAGAAAAGUAAAAAUAAAAGAUUAUGAGGAACAUGAUGCAAUUAUUCUUCAAAGAGAGGUAACAAGUGCGACAAAAAAUAAACAGCGAAAUUACGUCAUAGGCACCCCCCCGUGUUUCGUCACACGGUUGCUUACUACGCAGAAGGAGCCAUCUUGAAUCAAUCAUUGACCGAAAAGUUCACUAGUUUGCCCUACUAUUUGUUGCGUUUAUAUUCUUACAAUGUCUGAUUACAACAAAUAGUCUAGUAAAGAGUCAUAUAUAACUCUUCCGGAGGCAACAGGAGCGAAUUUGGAUCGAAAGGAGCAGUGCAUUCCCUUGGAGCUGAACAGAGAGGAUAAUCACGGCUUCCAGGGCAGUUUUUCAGAAGUCUAGAAAUUGUGAUGCUGGGCUUCUGUUGAUGUGCACUUGAGGGCCCAUGAGAUAGAGUAUUAACAAACAUUCUUUAAUUUUUGUAAGAAUCAUUUAGAGGCACAGUAAUGCUACAGGGUCUGUACUCUAUUUCAAGUCAACAUCAGCUUAGUUUAUGUAAGGGACUCAUCUUCAUUAGUUUUAAUCAAAUAAUACAGUAAAUACAGAGCAAAGAGACACUGGCCAAAUAUACAAGCUUUAGCGAUAUCGCUCUCUUUUCAUCAUCAUAAUCCUAUGGCCUCAGCCGAGAGGGCUCAAGAUGACCCUGAGGUCUUUCAUUGCACUUGGCAUAAUAAUAAUAA
Molecule: long non-coding RNA, 1046 nt
Organism: Nematostella vectensis (starlet sea anemone)
Lineage: Eukaryota; Metazoa; Cnidaria; Anthozoa; Actiniaria; Edwardsiidae
Exons: 3
Source: RefSeq, a predicted model, not a curated record